GGCCAGAAGAGGAAUCUUGCUGCAAAGGACCAUUUGUUUGCAGGGCUGGCUCCUCUGUCUUCCUUUGCAAGAAUUCUAUUUGCUUACCUGUGAGCACAACACUCCUUUUCCUGCAGCUUGACAACCUGCAUCACAACAAGGACUCAUUUCUCAAGCCAUGUUUAAGGCAAAAGAGCUUCAAUUAACAUGGGAAGACAGGAUGGAAACUUCAAAAAAGGGACAGAAAAAAAGGCCCAUUUUCGUUUCACAGUGAAAAGAGUACAUGGAAAAUACGCUUAAAAGUCAGUGAAGAAAUUAGCCAAUCAUGCAUUAUCUUGAUUAAGUGAAACCUAACUUGCUCAUUAAGAAAUUCCCAUAAUUUUUGUGAGUGCAAUUCAUUCUCUCUCCCUUCCCCCCACCUCCUCCUCCUCCUCCUCCCUCUCUCUCUUUUUUUCUAUCUCUCUCUGAUAUGGUUCAGUUGUGUCUCCACCCAAAUCCCAUCUUGAAUUGUAAUCCCCAUAAUCCCCACGUGUCAUGGGAGGGACCUGGUGGGAGGUGAUUGGAUCAUGGGAGCAGUUUCCCCCAUGCUGCUCUCGUGAUAGUGAGUGAGUUCUCACGAGAUCUGAUGGUUUUAUAAGCGUCUGUCAUUUCCCCUGCUAAUGCUCAUUCUCCUGCCACCCUGUGAAGAGGAGCCUUCCACCAUGAUUGUAAGUUUCCUGAGGCCUCUCCAGCCAUGAGGAACUGUGAGUCAAUUAAGCUUCUUUUCUUUAUCAAUUACCCAAUCUUGGGUAUUUCCUUAGAGCAAUGUUAGAACAGACUAAUUCAUUUUCUCUCUCUCUCAUAGUUAUGCUACUAUAUAGAAUUAUUGAAGAAUUAAUUCACCUUCGUAAGCAGCUACUAGCUUAAAAAGAAUUAAUGUGGCUCUCGAAACACCUACUUUAUUCGUUAAGGAGUAACUUAGGCACUGGUUAAGAACAGAGUCCAAUUGUCUUUGGAACCUUAUUAAGACAAAAAGACUCCAGGAAAACGUAGGUAACUAAAAGCCAAGUCAAUACAUGUCUUAAACUACUGUGGCAAGUGGUAAUGGCAUCUCACAAUUACUUUCAUCUUUCCUGUAAUGAAUGAUUACAUUUGAUAAGAAAGAAUUCCAUUUUUCCAUUAAACAAUCUUAUGAGAUGUUUUGCUUUAGGGUAACCACAUACCUCAUCUCUACCACAAGACCUGGUGUUCGCAUUCAAGCCAGUUGACAGCAAUCUUUCUCAAUUUAUUCCUUCUCCUAUCUCUACCCAUUGAUCCCUGGAGUCCUUUCACAGGAGCAAUGUCAGUAAACACUUAUCACUGAAUAGGCAGCAGGUGGUUCCUCAAGUCUAUAUAGCACACAGUAGCAGUUCGUUAGAAUGAAAGAAUGAACCACCACCACGCCUCCCCUGCAGCAAUCCCCUUGCCGCUGUUGGUUUCUAUAGAGACCCAUGAAACUUUUAGCUAUUGCAAAUUUUAUUUUCAACUUGUAAUUCUUUAUCAACAUAUUAUUAGGAAUUGUAUACUUUGUGUUCUCAGCUUUUCUUUAAAAUUUUUUUACUUGUCAGCCAGGCGCGGUGGCUCACGCUUGUAAUCCCAGCACUUUGGGGGGCCG
RNAcentral lists this long non-coding RNA (1612 nucleotides) under Homo sapiens (human). RNAcentral's name for it is "HSALNT0090346". Lineage: Eukaryota; Metazoa; Chordata; Mammalia; Primates; Hominidae. The record is from RNAcentral.